GUAUAAUGGCUUAGCAGAUUUAAAAAUUAUUUAUCUCUAAGGAUAACAAAGCUGAUGUAAUUUUAAAGUACAAUGCAGAUGAAGCUAGAAGUCUGAAGGCAUAUGGCGAGCUUCCAGAACAUGCUAAAAUCAAUGAAACAGAUACAUUUGGUCCUGGAGAUGAUGAUGAAAUCCAGUUUGAUGAUAUUGCAGAUGAUGAUGAAGACAUUGAUGAUAUCUAAAUUGAUCUUAAAGGUUCAUAGUAAUGUUCUACAGUGUGGAUUUUGCCCCUCACCAUUUAAGAAGACUAAAACUGCAGCAUGAAUGUGGUCUGUUAAGGCAUACUAAUUUAUUUUCAUUGUUUUACAGUAUUUAUAUGUCUUUAAAUAAAAUGUUAACACUUUAUUUUUUUUGAAGUAAUAGAACUUAGGGGUAAAAGACUACAAUGUCUAUGGUUAAAACAAUAGAAAGAACAUAGGAAAAAGACAGAGAAUGAAUAAAAAAUGUUUUCCAGUUAAUGGAUGUUUUUAAUAAAUUGUCUUAUCGUUACAGUUAGUUAUAAGUCUUAGUUCCAACUAAUUUUUUUUUGCAGAAAAUGUUGCAGUUACUUAGAUGUUUUCUUUGAUUUUUGUUAACACAUAAGGGAAGCUAGAAGUCUAUAUUCAAAGUCAAGAAAAUGGGCUAUUUUUAUAUUUCUGUAGCUGUAUUUUUGUACUAUGUUUGAUAAUACUCUAUUAAUUUUUAUUGUCACCUUCAUAAAUAAGCAUUUCCAAACUGCAGAUUUUGGAAUGUGGGUUUGAGGAGCAAUUUUGAAUUUAGAGGAUGAAUAGAUUCAAAAAUUCAGGCCAAGAUAAUAUCCAAUUAAUUCAAAGUUGAAAGUAGUGAUAUACUGUUGACAGUGGUUUUCUUUUCCCUUAAUGUGUAGAAAAUUUCUUAAAUAAGGCAAUUUGUAAUGGCAAAAUAAGGAAAAUUGUUUAUACUAUACCAAAAACUUAUGUUAAAAUAUGUCAUUUUAUUGUCAAAACUCAUGUAUACUUGUAACCCAUAGUUUUGAAAACCUAAUUUUAUAAUAAACUUGCAUAGAAUGAAAGAGUGAAACCACAGCAUGAAUGUGGUCUGUUAAGGCAUACUAAUUUAUCUUUUAUUUCAAGAUACGAAAUAAAAUGUUCAUUGAGUAUAUUUUGGUUA
Molecule: long non-coding RNA, 1167 nt
Organism: Artibeus jamaicensis (Jamaican fruit-eating bat)
Lineage: Eukaryota; Metazoa; Chordata; Mammalia; Chiroptera; Phyllostomidae
Exons: 3
Source: RefSeq, a predicted model, not a curated record